Molecule: ribosomal RNA, 305 nt
Filed under: uncultured bacterium
Lineage: Bacteria
Description: bacterial SSU rRNA
Rfam family: Bacterial small subunit ribosomal RNA
Source: RNAcentral
GUAACCUACGGGGCGCAGCAGGGAGGAAUAUUGGUCAAUGGGCGCGAGCCUGAACCAGCCAAGUAGCGUGAAGGAUGACUGCCCUACGGGUUGUAAACUUCUUUUAUAAAGGAAUAAAGUGAGGAACGUGUGCCUUUUUGUAUGUACUUUAUGAAUAAGGAUCGGCUAACUCUGUGCCAGCAGCCGCGGAAAUACGGAGGAUCCGAGCGUUAUCCGGAUUUAUUGGGUUUAAAGGGAGCGUAGAUGGGUUGUUAAGUCAGUUGUGAAAGUUUGCGGCUGAACCGUAAAAUUGCAAUUGAUACUGG